GUAAGGAUGAGGAGUGGGUGGAGUGAGAGGAGGUGUGGUGAGAAAGGAAGUUGUGAUGAUGAAAGCUAUGCUACCUCCUGAGUUAUGGUAUACUGUUACUGUUCUUAUGGGGUACCCAAUGUAUGCUCCUUUUCAUCAAAGAGGAAGAAUUACUCUAACAACUAGAUCAGUAGCGUUGCUGAGGAAAACGACUGUUGCUAUGACAACUGUACAUAUACAUGUACUGUACAUCAAUAAAGAGAUA
RNAcentral lists this long non-coding RNA (244 nucleotides) under Amphimedon queenslandica. RNAcentral's name for it is "uncharacterized LOC109588018, transcript variant X2". The record is from RNAcentral. Lineage: Eukaryota; Metazoa; Porifera; Demospongiae; Haplosclerida; Niphatidae.